AUACGUAGGUGGCGAGCGUUGUCCGGAAUUACUGGGUGUAAAGGGAGCGUAGGCGGUUUGGUAAGUUGAGUGUGAAAUCUACCGGCUUAACUGGUAGGCUGCGCUCAAAACUACCAAACUUGAGUGAAGUAGAGGCAGGCGGAAUUCCCGGUUGUAGCGGUGGAAUGCGUAGAUAUCGGGAGGAACACCAGUGGCGAAGGCGGCCUGCUGGGCUUUUACUGACGCUGAGGCUCGAAAGCAUGGGGAGC
RNAcentral lists this ribosomal RNA (248 nucleotides) under uncultured bacterium. RNAcentral describes it as "partial 16S ribosomal RNA". It matches the Rfam family "Bacterial small subunit ribosomal RNA", at positions 523 to 769 of the family's 1533-position model. The record is from RNAcentral.